Molecule: ribosomal RNA, 468 nt
Filed under: uncultured bacterium
Lineage: Bacteria
Description: partial 16S ribosomal RNA
Rfam family: Bacterial small subunit ribosomal RNA (bases 65-468)
Source: RNAcentral
GGGGGGGGGGGGGGGGGGGGGGGGGGGGGGGGGGGCGGGGGGGGGGGGCCGGCGGGGGGGGGGGGCGGGGGGGGCGAGCGGGGGAGUGACACGUGAGGACCCGGCCCUUGGCGUUGGGAUAACUUCAGGAGACUGGGGCUAAUACCGGAUAGGAGCUCCUGCGGCAUGGUGGGGGUUGGAAAGUUUCGGCGGUUGGGGAUGGACUCGCGGCUUAUCAGCUUGUUGGUGGGCGAGUGGCUUACCAAGGCUGUGCCGGGUAGCCGGCCUGAGAGGGUGACCGGCCACAUUGGGACUGAGAUACGGCCCAGACUCCUACGGGAGGCAGGAGUGGGGAAUAUUGCACAAUGGGCGGAAGCCUGAUGCAGCAACGCCGCGUGCGGGAUGACGGCCUUCGGGUUGUAAACCGCUUUCGCCUGUGACGAAGCGUGAGUGACGGUAAUGGGUAAAGAAGCACCGGCUAACUACGUG